AAGACCCCAAUGCGUCGCGGAUGCG
Molecule: ribosomal RNA, 25 nt
Filed under: Ziziphus mauritiana (Indian jujube)
Lineage: Eukaryota; Viridiplantae; Streptophyta; Magnoliopsida; Rosales; Rhamnaceae
Description: partial 28S ribosomal RNA
Source: RNAcentral